CCGGAUUCAUUGGGCGUAAAGCGCGCGUAGGCGGUUUGGCAAGUCGGAUGUGAAAUCCCGAGGCUCAACCUCGUGACUGCAUCCGAUACUGCCCGACUAGAGGUAGGUAGGGGAGAUCGGAAUUCCUGGUGUAGCGGUGAAAUGCGCAGAUAUCAGGAGGAACACCGGUGGCGAAGGCGGAUCUCUGGGCCUGACCUGACGCUGAGGCGCGAAAGCUAGGGGAGCGAACAGG
This 232-nucleotide ribosomal RNA is filed under the name uncultured bacterium. Its description in RNAcentral is "partial 16S ribosomal RNA". It matches the Rfam family "Bacterial small subunit ribosomal RNA", at positions 545 to 776 of the family's 1533-position model. The record is from RNAcentral.